This 253-nucleotide ribosomal RNA is filed under the name uncultured bacterium. RNAcentral's name for it is "partial 16S ribosomal RNA". It matches the Rfam family "Bacterial small subunit ribosomal RNA", at positions 524 to 776 of the family's 1533-position model. The record is from RNAcentral.
UACGUAGGGGGCAAGCGUUGUCCGGAAUCAUUGGGCGUAAAGAGCGCGUAGGCGGCCCGAUAAGUCCGCUGUGAAAGUCAAGGGCUUAACCCUUGAAUGCCGGUGGAAACUGUCGGGCUAGAGUCCGGAAGAGGCGAGUGGAAUUCCUGGUGUAGCGGUGAAAUGCGCAGAUAUCAGGAAGAACACCGGUGGCGAAGGCAGGUCUCUGGGCAUUAACUGACGCUGAGGAGCGAAAGCAUGGGGAGCGAACAGG